This 367-nucleotide unclassified non-coding RNA is filed under the name Hevea brasiliensis (rubber tree). Lineage: Eukaryota; Viridiplantae; Streptophyta; Magnoliopsida; Malpighiales; Euphorbiaceae. The record is from RNAcentral.
AGUACUACAUAAUUUGCCUUCAUAUAAUUGGAAAUCAUGCAACAUUUUCUUAUUUUUCCUCUUUUAAAUGAUGCGUGGAUGCAUUUAUAUGUUUAAUGGCGGUUGAUUAGGUGAUCUCAGGUGCAAUUUUGUUAGGGUGGCAAUUAUUGACAUAAUCCAAUUAAAUGAACGACACAAAGUUAACCAGGUUAUGGUUGGGUAUAAAUGGCUCAAUGUGUUCAUGACACACUAAAAAAAGGUGUAUUAAGCAGGUUGACCUGUAUAAGCCAAAUAGAACCAUUUAUGCACGAUUACUUAGUCGGCUAAUGUGUCAACCCAUAUAACAUGACCCAAAUCACACUUUUAUAAUCUGUGUAUGAAUUUAGAA